AAUUGUAAUCAUUGUAAAAUUAUUUAUAUAUAGUGACAAAAAGCUAAUUAUAUAGUGAGGAUAAUCUUAAUUAAUAGAUAUUUAAAACUUUUAAUAUUGAGUGAAACUUUCUUUUGAUUGAUAAUGUUUUUUUUUUAAAUCUGGCAUUCUAAAAUGGAACCAAUACAGAUGUAUUGGUGUGACAUAAAAAUUGCUACUUCAUGAGGUCUAUCUUCUUGUACAGCAUGUCCACAUCGAGGAAGUACUCUCAUUUGAAAUUUGCCUGAAAGAAAAUAAUGUAAACCAAACUAAAAUUAAGGUACGAUCAAGGCCAUCUAUACUGGCUAAUAACAGUAAUUUGGGUACAGGCACUUCUAAGAACAUGUUAGAGAGUCCUUUGAACCACCCGGGCCAAUGUUGUUCUGUUUGUGAUAAGUUAAUACGCCA
Long non-coding RNA from Ctenocephalides felis (cat flea), 426 nucleotides. RefSeq lists it as uncharacterized. Lineage: Eukaryota; Metazoa; Arthropoda; Insecta; Siphonaptera; Pulicidae. The record is from RefSeq and is a predicted model, not a curated record. The transcript is spliced from 3 exons.